Long non-coding RNA from Caenorhabditis elegans, 629 nucleotides. Ensembl annotates it as ncRNA. Its record names the gene linc-29. NCBI's taxonomy places the organism in Eukaryota, Metazoa, Nematoda, Chromadorea, Rhabditida, Rhabditidae. The record is from Ensembl.
AUGCCGGCUUCUUCUACCUCAGCUCAAGAUGAUGAUUCAACAGUUCUCGAGAUUUCAAAUUUAGCCCCCUCGGUUACAAAGGCUGAUUUGGAGAAGCUCACCGAAAAGUACGAGCCCGUUUCCAUCGAAAUGAGAGAUCCAGGAAAAGUGGAUAUCCGUGUGUUCAAAACAUUCAGGAAACGUUGCCGACAUUCAACAGACUUGAACCUGUGAAUGGAUUUCUCAGUGGAAUCAAAGUCCGAAACUUCAUGCUCAACAGUUCCAUUGAAACUUCGGUUCUGGCAACCAUCUCCGAAAUGGUGGAAGUGGAUAAGGAUCCUCGAGUGCAUCUGGAAAGAUUCACACUAAUUUGUCACUAUAUGAAAAAUGAACUGAGAGGACAAUCAAUCUAUGCUCAUUUGCCAGACCAUCUCAAACGAAUGGCUAGAGGUCCCCGAUAGACAAAAAUCAUGAUCCAAAGGAACACUAUUUCUAUUGUUUUACUGCAUGUAUUUAAAAUAUCAUCGCCUUCUCCCCAUUUUCUCGUGAUUCGCUUCUUCGGUUCUUUUUAUACUAAACUUCUGUGAAAUGACCUAAAUAUGUAACCCCAAUCUAUGUAAAAUGGCUUUAGAAAAUAAAAUUAGCUUGUA